This 253-nucleotide ribosomal RNA is filed under the name uncultured bacterium. RNAcentral describes it as "partial 16S ribosomal RNA". It matches the Rfam family "Bacterial small subunit ribosomal RNA", at positions 524 to 776 of the family's 1533-position model. The record is from RNAcentral.
UACGUAGGGUGCGAGCGUUACUCGGAAUUACUGGGCGUAAAGCGUGCGUAGGCGGUCCGCGAAGUCUGAUGUGAAAGCCCCGGGCUCAACCUGGGAACUGCAUUGGAAACUAACGGGCUCGAGUGUGGCAGAGGGGGGUGGAAUUCCACGUGUAGCAGUGAAAUGCGUAGAGAUGUGGAGGAACACCGAUGGCGAAGGCAGCCCCCUGGGCUAACACUGACGCUCAGGCACGAAAGCGUGGGGAGCAAACAGG